UACGUAGGGUGCAAGCGUUGUCCGGAAUUAUUGGGCGUAAAGAGCUCGUAGGCGGUUUGUCGCGUCGACCGUGAAAACCCGGGGCUCAACUUCGGGCUUGCGGUCGAUACGGGCGGCUCGAGGCCGGUAGGGGGAAGUGGAAUUCCCGGUGUAGUGGUGGAAUGCGUAGAUAUCGGGAGGAACACCAGUGGCGAAGGCGGCUUCCUGGACCGGUUCUGACACUGAGGAGCGAAAGCGUGGGGAGCGAUCCGG
RNAcentral lists this ribosomal RNA (252 nucleotides) under uncultured bacterium. RNAcentral describes it as "partial 16S ribosomal RNA". It matches the Rfam family "Bacterial small subunit ribosomal RNA", at positions 524 to 776 of the family's 1533-position model. The record is from RNAcentral.